This is a long non-coding RNA of Stegastes partitus (bicolor damselfish), 98 nucleotides long. RefSeq lists it as uncharacterized. NCBI's taxonomy places the organism in Eukaryota, Metazoa, Chordata, Actinopteri, Pomacentridae. The record is from RefSeq and is a predicted model, not a curated record. The transcript has 3 exons.
UUUUGGUAACUUUGUGUUAAACUGCUGUUCACAUGGAACCCUUCUCCACUUCGGCCUUCAAGGGUCUCGCUUGAAUAUUUGCUACUACCACCAAGAUC